CAGCUUCAUACUUUGACUGUCUUCCACCACAUAAUGCUCUUGCAUCCUGUCAGCUUUGUUAAUCAUCUUCAUUUAGUGCAUAUCCUGAAUUAGAGCAGGAUUACAUGUAAACUGAAUCAUGAGUUGUUGAUUUUUGGUGAGAGAGUUAACAGAAACUGAAUUCUGAUCAAAUGAAGGCACAUAGAGAACAUCCUUGAGAAGAAAUAGAUGAGCAUCAGAUAUAUCCUAUGAUUUCAACUGGAAGUGUGAGCUUAUUUAGUAAAGUCAUUGUGUAAUUGUUUACCCUUAUUUUGUUAUGAAACAUAGAAAUUUCAAGACUAACAUGCUGUAGCACCAGAAUCUAUAAUCCAUUUGUAAGACUAUUUUCCAAAAUUAAUGGAUAUAGAAUAACACUUACAUGGAGUAGUUUCCUUAUGGGGCAAAUAUCAUAUUAACCUAACGAACUUUUCCCAUUUGUUUUAAAUGAUCACUAAAGUUUUUUUUUUUUCACUUUUAGGGAAUAAACUCUUUUUUUACCUGUUCAUUUGGUCCUGUUUCUUCCUUUCUAUUUCUUGGAGAGUGGAUAUCAUAUUUGACCGAUUCCAACACGGAACAUUUUCUCAACACUACUUCAUCGAUUUGGAUGAUUUUGAUUCUAGUUUUCUUUCUUGAGAUCAUGGACUUUAUUCUUAAUCAUCAUCAUAAUCUUGUCUCAUGUAUAUUAAAUCUAGAAAUAAACUGAUCAAUAUUCAAAUUCCAAUCCUAUUUAAACAAAUUUUCAUCUGUUUUUGGAAUGAAAAGAUGAAAAUUGGGUUACCUAGGAUGAUCAUUACGAACGAAGGACCAAUUAAGGAUGGCGACAGGACCAAUUUUCAUCUGUUUUUCUAUUCAUUAUUCAAUCCAUGAAAAUGGUAAAAGAAACACUGCUGUGUUGCCCUUGAAUUUCAAAGAAUUGAUGCACAAUCAAGAAAACGCAAAAGGAGCGAUUUCAACAGCCAAGAAUCAAGCUUAUUGCUACUAAAUAAGAUAUCUACAUAGAAACUUAAAUUUCAGUGGCUUUUUAAAAGCAACAUCUCAAAAAAUGAAGCAAAUCAAGAAUUGGACCAAAACACAUGUGUUACUCCAUCAAUUGUUCAACACCCACAUAAAGGAAUUUCAAAUAAUUCAAGCAAAUCGAGAAAUUGACCUAAAAUUUUAUAUUACUCCACUAAUUGUUCAAAAGCCACUUAAGGAAUGUACAUAUAAGUGGAGCAGAUGAACGACUACACCCAACCUAUUUAUUGUUUUUGUUUGGAAUUGUGCUACUGAUCUUAAGCUCUUUUUGUAUGCCCUUUUGCUUCUCUGCUCUCUCGGUACAAUGGCGAUGUCGUCACUUUCGCCGUCAUCGGUUUCUCUUCCAAAUCACUCCGACAUCGACUGUGGCCGAGGCGGACACUAGCGACGGGCUAUGUUGGAGUCAAAGAAAAAGAUGUGAAGUCGAGAGGAAGGGAACGCAUGCGACAUUGGGUGGUGGGGGGAUUUUAUGUUUUACCAAAAUUUAACCUAAAUGAUACAUGUCAUUUAUUUAAGCUAUGGGGCCCACAAACAACGGCUUACCGGUUUGUUUCUUCUAAAAUGAUGUUUUAAACACUUGAAAUUGGAC
RNAcentral lists this long non-coding RNA (1621 nucleotides) under Lactuca sativa (garden lettuce). RNAcentral describes it as "long non-coding RNA (LSAT_LNC008469)". Lineage: Eukaryota; Viridiplantae; Streptophyta; Magnoliopsida; Asterales; Asteraceae. The record is from RNAcentral.